This 395-nucleotide ribosomal RNA is filed under the name uncultured bacterium. RNAcentral describes it as "bacterial SSU rRNA". It matches the Rfam family "Bacterial small subunit ribosomal RNA", at positions 29 to 453 of the family's 1533-position model. The record is from RNAcentral.
AACGAACGCUGGCGGCAGGCUUAACACAUGCAAGUCGAGCGCCCCGCAAGGGGAGCGGCAGACGGGUGAGUAACGCGUGGGAAUCUACCCAGCCCUACGGAAUAACCCAGGGAAACUUGGACUAAUACCGUAUACGUCCGAUAGGAGAAAGAUUUAUCGGGGUUGGAUGAGCCCGCGUUGGAUUAGCUAGUUGGUGGGGUAAUGGCCUACCAAGGCGACGAUCCAUAGCUGGUCUGAGAGGANGAUCAGCCACACUGGGACUGAGACACGGCCCAGACUCCUACGGGAGGCAGCAGUGGGGAAUAUUGGACAAUGGGCGCAAGCCUGAUCCAGCCAUGCCGCGUGAGUGAUGAAGGCCCUAGGGUUGUAAAGCUCUUUCAACGGUGAAGAUAAUG